UUUUUUAGCUCACCUGGCCCGAAGGGCCAAGUGAGCUUUUCUCAUCACUUGGCGUCCGGCGUCCGUCGUCGUCCUGCGUCCGUCGUCGUUAACUUUUACAAAAAUCUUCUCCUCUGAAACUGCUGGGCCAAAUUUAACAAAACAUGGCCAAAAUCAUUAUUAGGGUAUCUAGUUUAAAAAUUGUGUCCGGUGACACGGCCAACCAACCAAGAUGGCCGCCAUGGCUAAAAAUAGAACAUAGGGGUAAAAUGCAGUUUUUGGCUUAUAACUCAAAAACCAAAGCAUUUAGAGCAAAUCUGACAGGGGUGAAAUUGUUUAUCAGGUCAAGAUCUAUCUGCCCUGAAAUUUUCAAAUGAAUCGAACAACCCGUUGAUAGGUUGCUGCCCCUGAAUUGGUAAUUUUGAGAAAAUUUUGCUGUUUUUGGUUAUUAUCUUGAAUAUUAUUAUAGAUAGAGAUAAACUGUAAACAGCAAAAAUGUUCAGCAAAGUAAGAUCUACAAAUAAGUCAACAUGACCAAAAUGGUCUGUUGACCCCUUUAGAAGUUAUUGCCCUUUAUAGUCAAUUUUUAACCAUUUUUCGUAAAUCUUAAUUAUCUUUUACAAAAAUCUUCUCCUUUGAAACUACUGGGCCAAAUUAAACCAAACUUGGCCACAAUCAUCAUUCGGUUAUCUAGUUUAAAAAAUUGUGUCCGGUGAUCCGGCCAACCAACCAAGAUGGCCGCCAUGGCUAAAAAUAGAACAUAGGGGUAAAAUGCAGUUUUUGGCUUAUCACUCAAAAACCGAAGCAUAUAGAGCAAAUCUGACAUGUAGUAAAAUUGUGUAUCAGGUCAAGAUCUAUCUGCCCUGAAAUUUUGAGAUGUAUCGGACAACUCGUUGAUAGGUUGCUGCCCCUGAAUGGGUAAUUUUAAGGAAAUUUUGCUGUUUUUGGUUAUUAUCUUGAAUAUUAUUAUAAAUAGAGAUAAACUGUAAACAGCAAAAAUGUUCAGUUAAGUAUGAUCUACAAAUAAGUCAACAUGACCAAAAUGGUCUGUUGACCCCUUUAGGAGUUAUUGCCCUUUAUAGUCAAUUUUUAACCAUUUUUCGUAGAUCUUAGUUAUCUUUUACAAAAAUCUUCUCCUCUGAAACUACUGGACCAGAUUUAACCAAACAUGGCCAAAAUCAUUAUUAGGGUAUCUAGUUUAAAAAUUGUGUCCGGUGACCCGGCCAACCAACCAAGAUGGCCGCCAUGGCUAAAAAUAGAACAUAGGGGUAAAAUGCAGUUUUGGCUUAUCACUCAAAAACCAAAGCAUUUAGAGCAAAUCUGACAUGUGGUAAAAUUGUUUAUCAGGUCAAGAUCUAUCUGCAACAACAAAAGAAAGAGAGUUUUUAACGACCUCAGCUGGCUAUACAACCGUUGCACAAUCAACUGAAUUUUGCAGAAAUCAUUUAUAGGAUAGAUUGCCCAUAUAUGAUAAUUUUUUAUUACCUUUUUGUUUUUUUUGGCAAAGGCGGGGGGGGGGGGGGGGGUUGCGCAACAACAAAACUACUUCACAACUUUCUCAUUACUUUGCAUUUCUUGUUAGAUAAAUUUUACCAAAAGUCUCCCCUGAACAACUGUCGGAUUUAAACAAACUUGGUUUAAAUCACCACUAGGAUAUCAAGGGACCACUGUGUAUGAUGACCCUGCCUGCCCACAUGGCUGAAAUAAAACAUAGGUUUCAAAUGCACUUUUUAGUAUUAUAUCUCUGAAACUAAACAACAGUACAACAGUUGCAUUUAUCAUGCAACAAUUGUAAAUAAAAAUAUCAGGUGAGCGACACAGGGUCCUUGGACCCUCUAGUUUUG
This 1823-nucleotide long non-coding RNA is filed under the name Mytilus galloprovincialis (Mediterranean mussel). The record is from RNAcentral. Lineage: Eukaryota; Metazoa; Mollusca; Bivalvia; Mytilida; Mytilidae.